Small nucleolar RNA from Hippoglossus stenolepis (Pacific halibut), 137 nucleotides. RefSeq annotates it as small nucleolar RNA SNORD94. Lineage: Eukaryota; Metazoa; Chordata; Actinopteri; Pleuronectiformes; Pleuronectidae. The record is from RefSeq and is a predicted model, not a curated record. The transcript has a single exon.
UCUGUGAUGAUGAGACGCGCAGGGGUACGGACCUCAGCCGAUGAUGGGGGCUGAGUGCUGCUGCUGCGGUCUGAUCAGAGGACAAGUGGUUCACUGACGGACGCCAGCAGCACGACACAGACGCCACGCUGAACAGA